UGGGGAAUAUUGCACAAUGGGCGCAAGCCUGAUGCAGCGACGCCGCGUGCGGGAUGGAGGCCUUCGGGUUGUAAACCGCUUUUGUUUGGGAGCAAGCCCUUCGGGGUGAGUGUACCUUUCGAAUAAGCACCGGCUAACUACGUGCCAGCAGCCGCGGUAAUACGUAGGGUGCGAGCGUUAUCCGGAUUUAUUGGGCGUAAAGGGCUCGUAGGCGGUUCGUCGCGUCCGGUGUGAAAGUCCAUCGCCUAACGGUGGAUCUGCGCCGGGUACGGGCGGGCUGGAGUGCGGUAGGGGAGACUGGAAUUCCCGGUGUAACGGUGGAAUGUGUAGAUAUCGGGAAGAACACCAAUGGCGAAGGCAGGUCUCUGGGCCGUUACUGACGCUGAGGAGCGAAAGCGUGGGGAGCGAACAGGA
This 414-nucleotide ribosomal RNA is filed under the name uncultured bacterium. RNAcentral describes it as "bacterial SSU rRNA". It matches the Rfam family "Bacterial small subunit ribosomal RNA", at positions 355 to 777 of the family's 1533-position model. The record is from RNAcentral.